GCCAAUUUUGGCCUAAAAGAACCCAAACCAAAUAAACAAAAAAACAGUCCAAUACAUGGCCCAAAAUUAAGACAAAACCUACCCAAACCCAAUUUACAUCAAACCCUAGCCCAAAUAAUAGCCCACUUGCUUAAGAUUUUCAGCAGCAAACCCUUCCCCAAUAUGCAGCCGCCGCAUGCUUUCAGCCACUGCCGCUCGGGGCACCAACCAUCGACCUUCCAUGCGUCAUGUCACCUGCAAAGAGAGACCCAUACGCAAAGUAAUAGGAAACAACAAAGAAAACGACAAGAAAUGGCAAAAAACAAAACAAAUAUGGACAAAAAUGAUCUUAUAUUCGGUUAUAAAGCUUCGAACUUUAACAUUAUAUUGUUUUUUACGCGCAUUAAGCAAUAAAAACAGCGAAAGAACCAAAAAGGUUGAUUUUUUUAUCUCCAUUUUCAUUUUAAAUUCUGAGUUCAUUUACCCUGUUUUCUUUUUUUUAAUUAUUUUAUACGAAAAUAAACAAAAGUAAAAAAGGAGGAAAGGGAACUUACCGAUCUACUCCGUGGUUGCGCCAUCAGGACCUCCUCCUCUGUCGCCGGAUUCGAGCCCAAAAGGAGAAGAGGGGUCUUCUCUUCUCGAUCCUUUCGGGGCUAAAAAGAGGGGGCCUUCGUGCGCGUUUAAAUAGGGGCUAAAGAGCCCAUUGUCGCACCUCCGACCACCGCUUAUGGCGGCCGGUACGGAGGUGAAUCGCUACCUCGGUGACCGGAGGAAAAUGAGAAGGGAGAGAGAGCUGGAAGGCUCUCUGCCUUUUUUUUUU
RNAcentral lists this long non-coding RNA (799 nucleotides) under Gossypium barbadense (sea-island cotton). RNAcentral describes it as "long non-coding RNA (GBAR_LNC004721)". The record is from RNAcentral. Lineage: Eukaryota; Viridiplantae; Streptophyta; Magnoliopsida; Malvales; Malvaceae.